CCUACGGGUGGCAGCAGUGGGGAAUAUUGCACAAUGGGGGAAACCCUGAUGCAGCGACGCCGCGUGAGUGAAGAAGUAAUUCGGUAUGUAAAGCUCUAUCAGCAGGGAAGAAAAUGACGGUACCUGAGUAAGAAGCCCCGGCUAACUACGUGCCAGCAGCCGCGGUAAAACGUAGGGGGCAAGCGUUAUCCGGAUUUACUGGGUGUAAAGGGAGCGUAGACGGCGGGGCAAGUCUGAAGUGAAAGGCGGGGGCUCAACCCCCGGACUGCUCUGGAAACUGUACGGCUAGAGUGCGGGAGAGGUAAGUGGAAUUCCUAGUGUAGCGGUGAAAUGCGUAGAUAUUAGGAGGAACACCAGUGGCGAAGGCGGCUUACUGGACUGUAACUGACGUUGAGGCUCGAAAGCGUGGGGAGCAAACAGGAUUAGAUACCCUUGUAGUC
RNAcentral lists this ribosomal RNA (440 nucleotides) under uncultured bacterium. Its description in RNAcentral is "partial 16S ribosomal RNA". It matches the Rfam family "Bacterial small subunit ribosomal RNA", at positions 338 to 795 of the family's 1533-position model. The record is from RNAcentral.